This 371-nucleotide ribosomal RNA is filed under the name uncultured organism. Its description in RNAcentral is "partial 16S ribosomal RNA". It matches the Rfam family "Bacterial small subunit ribosomal RNA", at positions 527 to 896 of the family's 1533-position model. The record is from RNAcentral.
GUAGGUGGCAAGCGUUGUCCGGAAUUAUUGGGCGUAAAGCGCGCGCAGGCGGUUCUUUAAGUCUGAUGUGAAAGCCCACGGCUCAACCGUGGAGGGUCAUUGGAAACUGGAGAACUUGAGUACAGAAGAGGAAAGCGGAGUUCCACGUGUAGCGGUGAAAUGCGUAGAGAUGUGGAGGAACACCAGUGGCGAAGGCGGCUUUCUGGUCUGUAACUGACGCUGAGGCGCGAAAGCGUGGGGAGCAAACAGGAUUAGAUACCCUGGUAGUCCACGCCGUAAACGAUGAGUGCUAAGUGUUAGGGGGUUUCCGCCCCCCUUAGUGCUGCAGCUAACGCAUUAAGCACUCCGCCUGGGAUACGGCCGCAAGGCUG